UCUGCAGGCAGCCCUCUCUCACCCCGCUGCACCCGGAGCAAAUGUGGCUCGUGAGUUAGUCACUGAGAAAGGAGGUCACAGCGGCUCGCUGCCCACUUCUCUGUCUCUUACACGAGGAUGUGUAUGCAGCCUGUCCUGAAGCGGAUAAUCUGGUCUGACAAGGACUGGAGAGAGGCUGUGUAAAUGUGAGUGUGGAAAAGCCUGGGCCUGGCGCUCAUUUCUCGGACGCGAAGACUCGAGACACGAUGGAAGUCUUUAUGUUCCAGAAGUGUAGGUCAGAAAGUGUUGAUUGACACAGGAUUCCAGGUGCUGGAGAUGAACACACCAGGGCAGGAAACCCUGUGGUCACCUGGGCUCUAGAAGAAGGGAAUGAAAGUGACCAAAGAUGCUGACAGGAUACGCAGCCGCACGGAAUUAGAACCAAUACCUAUAGCAGAAGCAUGAAGGACAGAGACACCGCUGUAUUUUGUUUCUUUUUAGUUCGCCAGGUGCCCCUCUCAGUUUGGGAGGGAAACCCUUCAGUUUUAGCCAUUGUGAUUUAGAUGGGGGCUCGUAUAACCCGCCCCCCAACAAGGGUAGAAUCAAUCAACCAAAUAUGAUCAGUAGGGAAACAUGUUAUAUGUUGUCCUGAAACCGUGGUCAUCAUUCAUGGACUGUUUAAUGGAAUCAUGGAACCACAGACAAGGCACCUUCUUAACAGUUGCCAAUUGCUAAGAUAGAACCCCAAACUACAUUGGCCGUUGCCUAAGGAGGUUAUGAUUGAGAAUAACGUAAGUUUAAGGAAUUAUUCGUUUAUGAUGGAAGCCUUGGAUCCAGUCUUACCUGAAGCCUAUUUCAGAUAAUGAAUCGUCUUAAUUAAAGGUAUUUUGAAUCAGAAUUUUGGUCUCUUCACCGAGAUGUGCCCUGGUUAAUACAGUGGGACACUUAAUGCAGGUGAACAGCAGAAUGGCUUUAACUUAGCAUGGUUUUGAUCAGAACUACAAGAGAGUGUGGUGGGUGAAGGCAUCAGGGGUGGCGCAGCACUGUUUACCAUCAUGGGCCACAAUGAAUGUGAGGAUGUGAAGUGAGGAACUCAAGGAAAAGAUGUGGAAUAAGGCUGCGGGGAGAAAAGGACCAUGGCUGUAGAGCUGUCAAAAGCCAGCACUGGCAUCCAACCUGUGCUUGGAGAUUUGAGACUGAAACAUACAGGAGACUUUCCCAUUCUAAAGUAAUAAUUAAAACACCAUGGAAUCAGCCAAACUCUAGGCAGAGCCAGGGGAACCCUGCAGAAGGGGGACUGGGGAGGAUUGAAGGAGUCAGAGGGGUCAAGAACAUGUCCCACAGAAUCAACUAAGCAGGACUCAUAGGGAUCAGCGACUGAAAAGACAGUCAUGGGUCCUGUAUGGGUCUGAUUCAUAAUUUGUUACGAUUGUGUAAUUGGAUGUUCUUGUAGGACUCCUAACAGUGGGAGUGGGGGUGUCUCUGACUCUUUUGCCUGCUUUUGGGACUCUUUCCCUCCUCCUAGAUUGCUUUGUCCAGCCUUGAUAUGAGGGUUUGUGCCUAGUGUUAUUGUAACUUGUUAUGCCACAUUCAGUUGAUAUUCCUGGGAAGCCUACUCUUUUUGUUUUUGAAGGCAAAUGGAGAAGGAGUGGAUCUGGGGAAGAUGGGAGGUGGUAUGUUGUGGGGGGGUUGGGGAAAGGACUGGGAAGUAUUGAAGGAGGGGAAACUGUGAUCGGGAUGUAAUGUAUGAGACAAGAAGAGAAGAAAAAAAGGAAAAAAGCACAGUGGAGUGAAUGACAUCACUAAGUGGAACAUAAUGUGUGGGUAAGAAAAAUGGGUCAUAGGUUGAUGAAAGGGAGGACCCAAGUUUGGGAUUCUAGAGGGAGCAAUGAAAUUAAUGGAAAAGGUUUCUUAUAAUGCUACUUUUGUAUGUGUGUGUACAUGUGUGGUCCUAAUCCCCUGGGAUCCGGGGCUCUAUGUCAGUCCUUACUGGGCUUCCUUGAUUUUAUGUUCUUCAUAUCUAUAGCCCAGCUUUUACAAUGUACUGGACUAGGAUUUGAAAAAAAAGACACAUGAUUCCCUCUAUAUGUUCACUAGUUGGCCUAUGGAUGGGGAAACUGAGCAUAUAUAUGAUCAUAUAUAUGGUCACAUAUAUGAUCAUAUAUAUAUACACACACACACAAACACAAUUGCUUUGAAAGGUAUGAAUCAGCAUGGGUGUGAACUGAUGUUACACUGAUGUGCUUAAGGUGAUGUUUUGCAUGUGUAUAUAAUAUUUGUGAAUAUGUGCAUAACAGGCAAGAAAGCUCACAUGUGUAUAUAAUCAGUUUUCACAAUGUGUGCAUAAUUAUUCAUAUGAAUAUAUUUGUACAUGAUAUAUUUAUAGGAGUGAUAGGUAUAUUAAGUUGUUAGGAAAUAAAUUGUUAGCAUUUAAGAUAUAGUCUAAAUAAGAAUAUAUAUAAAAUAAUAUAAAAGAAAUUCAGGUGAUAUGUUCUAGUAUCAGAACAUUGUAAAUACUUCUUGCAGUCUUGGCUGUUGGUAAUUGUGGUUAUUCCUUACAGGUGACUUUGUUCUCACCAUAGCCUUGUGAAGGAUCUGAUUUCAGCAUUCAGGAAGCCAGGGUUUUGAUAUUGGGUACCCUUGAAUUUCUGUUCUGACUCUCAUCACGCUUACUAUCACAUUCAAAUGUCUGACUUGAAUCCUUUAAAGUGUAUUGCCUUAUAUUACAGCACAGAAUGCAGCACCCACGUCUUCUUGGAAAGAGUGGAUUCUAUGCUGAUGCUUGAGUGGUGUUUUCUGUAAUUGCCGAUUAGGUUAGGUUGGUUGAUAGUAUUCUUCAGGUCUCCUACACCCAUCCUGAAUUCUCUGUCAAAUUGUUCUAUCAAUUGUCAAGUCAUGGUUAUUGGAAUUGCAAGCUAUAAUUGCUGAUUUUUAAAUUUUUCUUCCAGUGUAAAUUAGCUUUUGCUUCACAUAUUUUCAGACUCUAUACAUUAUUGGAAUGUAAACAUUUGGGAUUGUUUCAUUCUGUUACAUCUUAUUUCAGUGAAAUGAUCUUUAUAAUCUUUGUUCUGAAGGGUAUUUUGUUUGGAUUUAAUAAGCCACUCCAGUUAUUGGAGUAUUACAGUUAACAUGCUAUAACUUUACACAACUUUUAUCUUUGUAUUUGUCUCUGUGUCUAAAGUGCAUCUCCUAUGGGCAGUAUACAAUUGAAUCUUGUUCUUUUCUACAUUCUGAAAACCUCUGCCUUUUAAUUGGGAGGUUUAGACCAUUUAUAUUUAAUGGGAGUGGUAGAAUGACAUGUUUAAGUCUGUCAUCUUGCUGCUUGUUUUUUAAUUGAAAUAUUAUGUUGUUUAUUCCACUUUCCUUGACUUCUUUUGGAACGAAGUUUAAAAUUAUUAAUGAUUUUCUCAAAUGGUGUAUGUUACACAUGGUACUUAAUUUCAUAAAGAUAUUUUUAUAUAAGUAUAUAAUACACUUUAGGUAUGUCUCACCUCCUAUGCUCCAUACCCUCUCCUUUUCACCCCAUCCAUUUCCCUUUACUCCCCUUUGUUUACUUCUACUGUUAUUUUAUACAAAACCAAAUAAUUUUAUGUAACUAUAUAAAAUCUAUAGAAUGCUAUUUCAAGCUUUCUUGUUGGUUGAAUUUAAACUUUUUAUGGUGUGGUUCUGUUUAUGAUGGAUUUAUUUAGCUCGCGUUUGUAUAGUCUUUUAUUUUGAAAUUUAUAGCUGAUUGACUGGAAUCUUUGACUGGUAGUUUUCUGUUAGUAUUUGAACUUGGCACACUGAGGUUUUUGUACCUGGGCUGACAAAGCUUAUCACAUUUAAGCAUCUCAAGGCCAGCAAGAUGACUCAGUGGGUAAAGGAAUUUGCCACCAUGCUUGGUGAUCUGAGUUCCCUCUGGAGCCCUGGGCUGGGUGCAGUUUCUUGGAAGCAGGUUCUUUGAGUGUUGCCUUUGAUACUUGUUAGGUGGAAUCAUAAUAGUGUUUUGUUUAGGACUCAUUGUUCCCAUGACUGGGGUACAGAAAGACCCUGUGGAUACUCUGCUGUCAGCCCAGAAAAUCUAACCCUAAGAGAAGAAUGAGCCCUCAGAUCCAACCCUAAGAGAAGAAUGAGUCCCCUCUCCUAUAAAUAGAUUUUUUUUUGUAGCUAUUCCUGCUCCAACUUUGGGUAGAUUCUUCAGAAAAAUUUUAGUUAGUUGGUACUUGAGGAAGAGCUUUUAAAAGCUUUUAAAAAUAGAUACUCUAUUUUUAGCUUUCUCCUUCCUGGUAGUCUUUUCUUCAAACUCAAAUGACCUUGGUUUCUCUUGAAUCUCAGAUUAUGUUUAAUAAAAUAAAUUAAUUCUAUUACUUUACAUGUGAGGUGACAAACCAAUUUAUUUAUUGGUUUAUUGGAUAUUAUACUUGGUAUUUUUAGUCCUCCCCCAGGUUUUAGAAUAUACAUACCUGAUAGUUCAAUUCUAUUUGUCGCUAAUAUUUUACCAGUUCAAAUAAAGCAUGGACCCUCGUCCAACAAUCCAGAUGUCUUCACCCUCUUUGUACUAUAAUUGAUAUAAACUUUGGGAGACUGUCAGUUAAUGCAAUGCUACAUUUUUGAAGAUAUACAUGCUUGCAUACAUAUUUACACAUAUAUAUGUAUGUAUAAACAUUUUCUCUUCUAUAACAACCACCUCCUAGAAGUGAAUCAAUUUCAUUUCUAUGAUUCAGUCUACUUUGUGAGACUAGCAUUUAUUCCUUGUGAGAACUGCACAAUUAAAUAGUAAAUAAUUUAAAAUACAAAUUAGUAAAGACCUUGAUAACGCUGUGAUGAAUUCAUUUUCUAAGCAGAGGGUGCAGAAUAAGUGACGGCCAAAAAUGAAUACAUGAGCAGAAUGUGUAAUUGAAAUUUUACAAACUGAUUGAAUUUUAAGUCAUGAUUUUAGGGAGAAGUAUUUUUUAAAAGAUUUAUUUACUUAUUAUGUAUAUAAUGUUCUGCCUGCAUGUAUGCCU
Myodes glareolus (Bank vole) is the source of this 4964-nucleotide non-coding RNA. The record is from RefSeq and is a predicted model, not a curated record. Lineage: Eukaryota; Metazoa; Chordata; Mammalia; Rodentia; Cricetidae.